RNAcentral lists this ribosomal RNA (580 nucleotides) under uncultured bacterium. RNAcentral's name for it is "bacterial SSU rRNA". It matches the Rfam family "Bacterial small subunit ribosomal RNA", at positions 338 to 940 of the family's 1533-position model. The record is from RNAcentral.
CCUACGGGAGGCAGCAGUAGGGAAUAUUGGUCAAUGGGCGAAAGCCUGAACCAGCAACGCCGCGUGCGCGAUGAAGGCCUUCGGGUCGUAAAGCGCUUUUGGGAGGGAUGAAAAUGACAGUACCUCCCGAAUAAGGAUCGGCUAACUACGUGCCAGCAGCCGCGGUAAGACGUAGGAUCCAAGCGUUAUCCGGAAUUACUGGGCGUAAAGGGCGUGUAGGAGGUUGGGCAAGUCGGCCAUGAAAGCUCCCGGCUCAACUGGGAGAGGCUGGUCGAUACUGCCUGGCUAGAGGGCAAGAGAGGGAGGUGGAAUUCCCGGUGUAGUGGUGAAAUGCGUAGAUAUCGGGAGGAACACCAGUGGCGAAGGCGGCCUCCUGGCUUGUACCUGACUCUGAAACGCGAAAGCAUGGGUAGCAAACAGGAUUAGAAACCCUGGUAGUCCAUGCCAUAAACGAUGUCAACUGGGUGUCGGCGAAGUAAAAUUUGUCGGUGCCGAAGCUAACGCGUUAAGUUGACCGCCUGAGGACUACGAUCGCAGNUAAACUCAAAGGAUUGAGNGUGNGNNGCGAGNGANAGNGGAG